GGCCAUUGUAGGUUUGUGAGAUAGGACUGCUCACUGAACAAUAAGCAAGUUAUGGUCUGUGCACCUAAGAUUUGGGGAACAGCUUUAUUUUGGACAAUUCGGUGAAGUUGCUGCUACCUAUCCACGGACUUCGCUGGGAGUGUAUCAUGCUGUUUGCACUAACAUAUUUACAUAUUUAUUGUAAUUCUUCCAAACAGCGGAUUUAAUUUAAAAAAAUUAUCUUG
Pelobates cultripes (western spadefoot toad) is the source of this 224-nucleotide non-coding RNA. The record is from the annotation of a GenBank genome assembly. Lineage: Eukaryota; Metazoa; Chordata; Amphibia; Anura; Pelobatidae.